CGUACCACCUGUUUUACCCUGCAGGAAGCUGGAGGGGCCCAGCCAUCAGUUUCCCACUUUCCUGCCUCCACACCUCCACAGGGCCCUUCCAGGAUCUCCCUGAGAGCUCAACCCAAAUCCCUUACAUGUGCCCGUAGAUGUCACCACUCCUUCCUGCACCUCCCGCUCAGCCUCAACACAGACUCAUAACUGAUGCUGCCAGGUGUACGAGGAAAGCCUGUCAUUUCUUCUGCCCUUUGUGCUCCCCCUCACACCUCCUGGAAGGAAACUCUUCCAUUUUCCCAUUGAGCACGGAACAGGUCACGCGAGGCUGGCCUUCUGACCACAGCUGCCAGGACCAGGGUGGAUGCCUCACAAAAAUACUGGCAUACAUCAUGACCAGCGCAGUUGGCCCUGAGUAAACUCCUCCCUGGAAGGCAUUUGCAGUUAGGUUGCUCCGGCUGAAAGUCACAUGAGCUGAGCUCAAACAUUUAAAAAAAUUUUUCUUAGUAACAUUAUUUGAACAAAAUAAAAACCUGUCCCAGCAGUUCUCUCUACCAGGCACUUUGCAGAGGUCCCACAAGGUUCUCAGAAACUUGGGCCGGGCCCCAGCUCAUCCCAAGGAAUCUUUGGGCUCAGCUGCCUAUCUUAGAGAAUGCUUGCCUUGCCAUCAUGUGAAUUCAGGACAAAAACCAUUGGGAUUUAGAACAGCCUGGGUUCCAAUCUGCUGGGCUUAUGAAAAAGAAAAAGCUGGGGAGAAGACAGAGGAAUGCUUUGGCUCAUGCAACAGAAAAGUCCGGAGGCAACCGCUUCAGGAUUUGUUGUCUUGCCGCUUUGAAGAAUGAAGAGGUGGAUACAAAAUGAGCAGCAGGCAAAAUUUAUUAGAGUAUAAGAUCAGAAAGGAAGAAGAGUAGGAAAGGUCCCUUUACAGAGAAUAUUGGAAAGUGAACGCCAGAGGACUACAGGAGCCUGAGCUUCUUGGAACCAUCCUUGAGCUUCUCAGGAACCUGUGCCUGGGAAAAGGAUCAUAUGAUACUGUACUCUGGGGACCACUUCGCAGGAUGGGGGCAGAUAAGAGACUGGUAGAUGAGAAACUGAAACUGGGUUGGGUACUGCAACAGUCCUAGCCCAUAUUCUUUCCCAUUCAUCUGUGAAGUAUGUUUGGCCAAGAGAAAUUAGCACCUAGAAGAUGAAGCAACAUCAUGCCAGGGUACCUUACAGUAUACUCUUCAAGAAGGCGUCUCAAUUUAGAGGCUUUGUGCCAGCUGUAAAUCCUAUAGAGAAUACCCAAGCACGACUUUUCCAUUGAGAGGUGAGAAUGGCCACGCCACCUCUCACUGGGAAUGUGUCUGGUUCAGCUUCCUAGUACCUCAAGAUCCAUUCCCCGGAUGCUAAGGACUGUGGGAAUGGAGAGGAUUUCAUAAAAAAGAAACUCCAAAGGAAAAGUUACAUUGAAAUGCUGUGUGUCCGACACAGAGCUAGGCACAUAGUGAGCCCUUGACUAAUAUGUAUUUAAUCAACUGAAAAUACCCCCUGGGGGAGAAAGAAAUAGGAAGAGAGAGAGAGAGAGAGAGAGAGAGAGAGAGAGAGAGAGAGA
Molecule: long non-coding RNA, 1576 nt
Organism: Felis catus (domestic cat)
Lineage: Eukaryota; Metazoa; Chordata; Mammalia; Carnivora; Felidae
Exons: 3
Source: RefSeq, a predicted model, not a curated record